Molecule: non-coding RNA, 2118 nt
Organism: Cyanistes caeruleus (blue tit)
Lineage: Eukaryota; Metazoa; Chordata; Aves; Passeriformes; Paridae
Source: RefSeq, a predicted model, not a curated record
UUGUAGCUACAUGAAAUCAGCUAAGUCAGUAGGAGAUGUUUGGUGAUACUUGUCCCUUUUUGCUGACACUUCUGGUAGGAUCUGUUGCAGGUAAUAUCUGCAGCAAUUUCUAAAGCUCUCUUUUAUCUAACUGAACAUUUAUCCUCAAGUUUCUCAGCAUACCUGUCUUUGCUGCUAAUGCCAUCUCACUUGUUGAAACAAGCUUAGUGAUCAAAAUUAAUGAACCAUCUUGGUAGGGAUUGGAAGCUAGAAACAGACUGAAGAACGAGGAAGACCUUUUCUAUGCCCAGGAAAUGUCUUGGCAGAACAGGUUCAUGGAGAGGGAGUUUGGGACAAAAGUUGUGAUGGUUUUCAUCCAUUAUAUAAAUCUUAAGUGAACUGUCACCCUAUUUCCUUUGCUCGUGGUCACUUUGUGGACACCCUCUCCUUUUGCUAGAGCAAAGCAGCUUUGUCUUUCUGCUUGUGUAGAUGCUCCUAGACUGUGGCCUCUACAAACAUGCUACAAAUUUGUCCUGCUUUAGCUGGUUCUAAUUGCUGGUGAUUUAUGAGAGAGAUGUUGUGAAACAACAUAAAACUAAUUUUUCUUCUCCAUUAAUUCAGAUGUUCUAAGCAUUUGGGUUUACUCCUGUGAUUUCCCCUCCCUCACAAUUUACUUUGAAAUCCAAAGCUCUACUGUGUUGUCUUAUUGUAGCCUUCAGUGUUUCCUUCUCCCUUCUCAUCUAAUUGAAAAAUUGUUUAGAUUUAGAAAGUAGGGAAAAAGAUGCACUAAAUGAAAACUGUGUAACAAAGGUAGGUGAACAAAAAAUCAGCAGCCUUUAACAGAUAAAAGGAGAGAAAACCCACUACGCUCUCUGAUAAUUUGAAGUAGCUGCAACACUAAAACCAGUCCUGCAAAACACUCACGUGAAUAAUCCUUACUGUGGCAAGUAGUCCAAUUGUUCCCAGCACUGGUGAAAGGCAGUGGUCUGGCAGCUUUGAGGAAUGAAGUUCUUUUUUUUUAUUAGCUGGGCAAGUUUCCCAACACACAUUGCCUGGUCAGCCUGCUAAAACCUUGAUCUGAAGAGGGAGGGAUAAGCUUUCUCUCAGGCUAACAGGCAGUUUGGUUUCCACAGAUCACAUAAUUCUUACUUGUGUUUGGAGGCUGCCAAUUAGCAAAAAGUAAAGGGGAGAGACUCUGCAGGAAAUUGCAGCUCUAAUCCAGCUGACUUGCAUUAGAGAAGGACCACCUUGCUGCCCUCUGCAGAUUCUGGAGAGACCAUGCCCAAAGCCUGUGCCCCUUGCCUGUGUGAGUGUGUGUUCCAGGGAUGCUCAGAGUCUCCACAUUAGUCCUGGGAAGCAACUGGUGCUCCUGCUUCCCUCAUCCACUUUGACUCACUCUCCUUCGCAGGCUGCUCUCUAGGAGCAGCUUCCGUCCAGCUGGAGACCCUUCUACUUGAUGCUGACACAGGGGAUUGGAACUUCAGGACUUCCAAAUUGACUGACCCAAGAUUCUACCCUUCCACCAAAAGAACUAUCAGCAAGAUGUAAUCCAUUUGUGGACAGGCUCCAGGGGCAAGUAGACUCAUGGUACGUUUUACAGCUGUUUGAACAGACAUCAUUUGUGGGAAAGCAGUGCAGCACUGGCGAUUAUACUGCAGAAUGUGAAAUUGCCCAGGGUUUAUCUGUAAGUUUCAUCAGGUACCAGCACCAGCAGUGUUGAAAGCUGUAGCAGCAGUCCUGGUUGGCAGAAGGUGGCAUAUCAGCUGCUUGCACAUGAUCCAGUGCCAUUUGGAAAAAGCUUGAACCGCUUUCAGUAAAAAUAUCAUGAUUUGGUCUACUCAGGAUAUGCUUCUAGUCAGAGCAGUCAAAGCAGGCAGCUUUAGCACCUUCUGUACAGGAGGCAGUAGGGCUGCAUGAAACAUGGCCUUUGUUCUACAGGAGCGAUGUGUUCUCCAGGGUGUGUUUGUGGCAGCUGUUACUGGAUUUUAACAUCAGGUAGUGGACAAGGAAUUGACCAUUACUGAGACUGUGAACUGCACAAGGGUGCUUGCAGAAGUCAGACCCGAUCUGGAGGUUUCCUGGCACCUUGCUAGUUACCUUUUACUCUAUGUCAAAGCGCACUUCAUUGAAAGAGAGGUA